GGGCCGAUAGCUCAGCUUGGUAGCAGCGCCUGGUUUGCAUCCAGGAGGCCGUGGGUUCAAAUCCCACUCGGUCCA
Molecule: transfer RNA, 75 nt
Filed under: Candidatus Heimdallarchaeota archaeon B3_Heim
Lineage: Archaea; Promethearchaeati; Candidatus Heimdallarchaeota
Also listed under: 2 other names
Description: Candidatus Heimdallarchaeota archaeon B3-JM-08 tRNA-Ala
Rfam family: tRNA
About the family: Transfer RNA (tRNA) molecules are approximately 80 nucleotides in length. Their secondary structure includes four short double-helical elements and three loops (D, anti-codon, and T loops).
Source: RNAcentral